CGCAAACUUCACAAGAAUUACCCUUAGUGUAUGUAACACAACCUCUUAAAGAGAUAUUCACACUUUACCACUUCUGUGUAGUCUGGGUGUACAUCGAAGUGGUAACGUAUGACUAUCACUUUAAGAGGUUGUGUUACAUACACUAAGGGUGAUUCUUGUGAAGUUU
Pelobates cultripes (western spadefoot toad) is the source of this 166-nucleotide non-coding RNA. The record is from the annotation of a GenBank genome assembly. NCBI's taxonomy places the organism in Eukaryota, Metazoa, Chordata, Amphibia, Anura, Pelobatidae.